ACGAACGCUGGCGGCAUGCCUAACACAUGCAAGUCGAACGAGACCUUCGGGUCUAGUGGCGCACGGGUGCGUAACGCGUGGGAAUCUGCCCUUGGGUUCGGAAUAACAGUUAGAAAUGACUGCUAAUACCGGAUGAUGUCUUCGGACCAAAGAUUUAUCGCCCAGGGAUGAGCCCGCGUAGGAUUAGGUAGUUGGUGGGGUAAAGGCCUACCAAGCCGACGAUCCUUAGCUGGUCUGAGAGGAUGAUCAGCCACACUGGGACUGAGACACGGCCCAGACUCCUACGGGAGGCAGCAGUGGGGAAUAUUGGACAAUGGGCGAAAGCCUGAUCCAGCCAUGCCGCGUGUGUGAUGAAGGCCCUAGGGUUGUAAAGCACUUUCGUGGGGGAUGAUAAUGACCGUACCCAAAGAAGAAGCACCGGCUAACUUCGU
RNAcentral lists this ribosomal RNA (431 nucleotides) under uncultured bacterium. RNAcentral describes it as "bacterial SSU rRNA". It matches the Rfam family "Bacterial small subunit ribosomal RNA", at positions 29 to 506 of the family's 1533-position model. The record is from RNAcentral.